GAUAGAGAGUUGAGGCUCUAUCAAACUAUAACUAAGCUAAACCUAGAAAAACAAUAAAUAAAGAUAAAUAAAAUAAAAGAUAAAUUGAUUCAUUUCAUUGAUUGAUUCCAAAUUGAUAAGAACAUUACAUAUAUAUAUAAGACUCUUAAUGGGCCUAGAGGAUAAAGCCCAACCAAACAAAACCCAAUAGCAUAAAUGACCAACUAAUAAUAUAAAUACUAUGUCUCAUUAAUAUCUAAAUUAUUUAACUAACUACUACUUAUAAUUAUUUAACUAAUUACUCCCUAAUCUUCUAUCAAAU
Molecule: long non-coding RNA, 301 nt
Filed under: Trifolium pratense (red clover)
Lineage: Eukaryota; Viridiplantae; Streptophyta; Magnoliopsida; Fabales; Fabaceae
Description: long non-coding RNA (TPRA_LNC002499)
Source: RNAcentral